AGAGGUCAAGAAACAAAUCAGGGGUGUUGCAACCUUGCUGUUUCGUGGGAGAGACAGCAUCAGCACCACGGUUGUCUACAAGUUUUCAAGGAUGGGCGCGCCUGGUAGGAUUCACAAGGUUUUAUUCGACCCAGAUGACAAGAAAAUUCAGUGCGACUGUUCGAUGUGGAAUAGUGAGGGUAUUCCAUGUAGUCACAUAUUCUGCCUGAUGAAGUACGAGGGUUUGGAACAAAUACCGGACAGCCUUAUUGUGAGAAGAUGGUGCAAGGAUGCAAAGGAUUCCAGACGGAUGCCGGUGACAAUGAGACCUGGAGAUGAAGGUCGCAUGCUUAGGUAUGCCGCACUUUCUUCGGCCACAAGCUUGGUCGCAACACUUGGUUCGGAUGAGCGUGAAGACUUCGAAUUCGCUAAGGAGAGCAUCGCGAGUCUAAUAGAUAAGCUACGUCACAGAGUUUAUGAAAGGGCAGGUGGUCAGCCAGGUAUGUCGGGGUGGAAAGCGAUGAAGGACCCGGUUGUGGCAAGAACAAAAGGUGCCCCUAAGAGGAAGAAGGAGUUCGACCAAUGUAGUCAACCCGACGUGCGAGGGAAGAGGCGUUGCUGCACCAAAUGUGGCACACCCGGGCAUACCAAGAGGACAUGCAGCGGGUACUGUGCACGAGGGGUGUCCGGGAUUGGUAAUGGGGUCUCCCCCACGGAUGGCAACGGUUCGCAUGACGGCCCUGCAGCCGCUUCAGCGUCUCUUCCGACCGAGCUCGGUCAUGCGUAUGAGGUAAUAUAAGGAAACAUCAUUAGGCCCAAAUGAAUGUGUUGCUUCUCAGGUUUCACCUCUGUGUGAAAUUGUGGAAUUAGUUUCCUGGAUCAGAUCACACCGCAAACCUUAGUGUUGUUUUACACUGAAAUAUUUAGGAUCAAACCUCGGGUCACGGCGAAGCUGGUCUGAAUAACGUGUCUACCUCAGCGGCAAAUACAUCCUCCAUGGUGAGUCGGAGAGGUAGUCCAUGUUGGCGUCCUCCGUUUUCUGGCGGGGGAAGUGGGGGGAACUUCUUCCUUGGGGGCCAACACAUCCACCAAUUCUAUGCAUCCCAACCUUGCUCCGGGCACCAAAGCGAUCCGCCGCCGCACGCCGGGCACGGGAGUAUGUCAACUCCGAUGAGGGCUAUGAAUGAGGACUUGUUUGAACGGUGGCUGCUCCAGAAUGUGAUGGGUCGUCGCUCGUCGAGCAAUAUGCAGGGGGGAUUUCCCACGCGUGGAACUUGAUGUUAAGCUGGGGGAUAACACAUACCGAAUACUUUGUGUCUUGCAAAAAGUUAUUAUUUUCGGUAAGGUCUGUCUUGCUAAGUGGAAGCUGCAGAUUUCACUAGUGUGUGCUCUGUUUUUCUGAUUUAUUGUAACUACAUUUCUAGUGUCUUGCUGGUGACAAAUUGAAGCAUUAUUUGAGGUUUUAGUUGGGUUUGUUUAAUUUUGUCUCCGGAAUAGCUUGGCCUAUACUCAGUUUCUCACUAUGUUCGUAGCUCCCAUUGUCUGCAUAAUUAUGGCCAGAUGAUGUUAUUUGCUUCGUUGAUGAAGAUGGAGAAUCUGCUUUCUUAGUAGAAGGACUGGCUGCUGAAGGCUUUGUCUGAGUUCCUGUAGGCUUUGAAGUUGAACUUGUUUGAGUAAAUUUAGGCUCUGAACUUGAAUGAAUUUCUUGGUGUUGCUAUUUGGAAUAUCUUAGCUGUAGGUUGCAUAGAUGUCUUUUUUUUUUGGUAAAAUGCAUCGAUGUCCUUUUUGUGCUGA
This is an RNA transcript of Arachis stenosperma, 1773 nucleotides long. RefSeq lists it as uncharacterized. The record is from RefSeq and is a predicted model, not a curated record. The transcript has 3 exons. NCBI's taxonomy places the organism in Eukaryota, Viridiplantae, Streptophyta, Magnoliopsida, Fabales, Fabaceae.